This 1747-nucleotide ribosomal RNA is filed under the name human gut metagenome. Its description in RNAcentral is "bacterial LSU rRNA". It matches the Rfam family "Bacterial large subunit ribosomal RNA", at positions 1152 to 2925 of the family's 2925-position model. The record is from RNAcentral.
AGAGGUCCUGCGCCGAAAAUGUCCGGGGCUGAAACACGACACCGAAGCUUAGGAAUCACAUAGUGAUUGGUAGAGGAGCAUUCUUAAAACCGACGAAGCUGUACCGGAAGGAGCAGUGGAGGGAUAAGAAGAGAGAAUGCCGGAAUGAGUAGCGAGAGGAAGGUGGGAAUCCUUCCGGCCGAAUAUCUAAGGUUUCCAGAGUAAAGCUGAUCUGCUCUGGGUAAGUCGGGGCCUAAGGAGAGGUCGAAAGACGUAUCCGAUGGACAACAGGUUUAGAUUCCUGUACCACAUAUAAACAGAACUGUGGGGACGCAUGUGGAAAGCAUAAGCCGGGAAUGGAAAUACCGGUACAAACGGAAGAGGUGUCAGGCUGGCAAAUCCGCCUGGCAAGCCAAAGACGUGAUGUGGAGCGAAAUAAAAGUAGCGAAGUAUGUGAGCCAUGUGCCGAGAAAAGCCGCUAUUGUUUUAUAUGUGCCCGUACCGUAAACCGACACAGGUGGAUGAGGAGAGAAUCCUAAGGCCGACGGAAGAAGCAUUGUUAAGGAACUCGGCAAAAUGACCCCGUAACUUCGGGAGAAGGGGUGCCCACUUCAGGGUGGGCCGCAGAGAAUAGGCUCAAGCAACUGUUUAGCAAAAACACAGGUCUAUGCGAAACCGAAAGGUGAAGUAUAUGGGCUGACGCCUGCCCGGUGCUGGAAGGUUAAGAGGAGAGGUUAGCGCAAGCGAAGCUUUGAAUUUAAGCCCCAGUAAACGGCGGCCGUAACUAUAACGGUCCUAAGGUAGCGAAAUUCCUUGUCGGGUAAGUUCCGACCCGCACGAAAGGCGUAAUGAUUUGAGCACUGUCUCGACAAUGCAUCCGGUGAAAUUGAAGUACCAGUGAAGAUGCUGGUUACCCGCGCCAGGACGGAAAGACCCCAUGGAGCUUUACUCCAGUUUGGUACUGGGAUUCGGUACUGCAUGUACAGGAUAGGUGGGAGACUGAGAAAUUGGAACGCCAGUUUCAAUGGAGUCACUGUUGGGAUACCACCCCUGCAGUAUUGGGUUUCUAACCAGCCGCUGUGAUCCAGCGGUGGGACAAUGCCAGGCGGGGAGUUUGACUGGGGCGGUCGCCUCCGAAAGGGUAUCGGAGGCGCUCAAAGGUUCCCUCAGAAUGGUUGGAAACCAUUCGAAGAGUGCAAAGGCAGAAGGGAGCUUGACUGCGACACCGACGGGUGGAGCAGGUACGAAAGUAGGACUUAGUGAUCCGGUGGUAUAAAGUGGGAUUGCCAUCGCUCAACGGAUAAAAGCUACCCUGGGGAUAACAGGCUUAUCACUCCCAAGAGUUCACAUCGACGGAGUGGUUUGGCACCUCGAUGUCGGCUCAUCGCAUCCUGGGGCUGUAGCAGGUCCCAAGGGUUGGGCUGUUCGCCCAUUAAAGCGGUACGCGAGCUGGGUUCAGAACGUCGUGAGACAGUUCGGUCCCUAUCCGGCGCGGGCGGAGGAUAUUUGAGAGGAGCUGUCCUUAGUACGAGAGGACCGGGAUGGACGGACCACUGGUGUAUCUGCUGUCGACCAACGGCAUGGCAGAGUAGCCAAGUCCGGAAGGGAUAAACGCUGAAGGCAUCUAAGCGUGAAGCCCCCCUCAAGAUGAGAUAUCCCUCACAUAAGUGAGUAAGAUCCCUUGAAGAGUACAAGGUAGAUAGGGCAGAGGUGGAAGCACGGUAACGUGUGGAGCUGACUGUUACUAAUCGAUCGAGGGCUUGACCAA